RNAcentral lists this ribosomal RNA (497 nucleotides) under uncultured bacterium. RNAcentral describes it as "partial 16S ribosomal RNA". It matches the Rfam family "Bacterial small subunit ribosomal RNA", at positions 28 to 507 of the family's 1533-position model. The record is from RNAcentral.
GAUGAACGCUGGCGGCGUGCCUAAUACAUGCCAGUCGAGCGAACGGACGAGAAGCUUGCUUUUCUGAUGUUAGCGGCGGACGGGUGAGUAACACGUGGAUAACCUACCUAUAAGACUGGGAUAACUUCGGGAAACCGGAGCUAAUACCGGAUAAUAUUUUGAACCGCAUGGUUCAAAAGUGAAAGACGGUCUUGCUGUCACUUAUAGAUGGAUCCGCGCUGCAUUAGCUAGUUGGUAAGGUAACGGCUUACCAAGGCAACGAUGCAUAGCCGACCUGAGAGGGUGAUCGGCCACACUGGAACUGAGACACGGUCCAGACUCCUACGGGAGGCAGCAGUAGGGAAUCUUCCGCAAUGGGCGAAAGCCUGACGGAGCAACGCCGCGUGAGUGAUGAAGGUCUUCGGAUCGUAAAACUCUGUUAUUAGGGAAGAACAUAUAUGUAAGUAACUGUGCACAUCUUGACGGUACCUAAUCAGAAAGCCACGGCUAACUACGUG